This is a long non-coding RNA of Scylla paramamosain (green mud crab), 911 nucleotides long. RefSeq lists it as uncharacterized. The record is from RefSeq and is a predicted model, not a curated record. The transcript has 2 exons. Lineage: Eukaryota; Metazoa; Arthropoda; Malacostraca; Decapoda; Portunidae.
CAGUAAUAAACAUUUAGUGUGCAAAAACUUUUAGUACAUCUAAACUAUAGUAACUUGUGUCUUCCUUACAAGUGGUGUCAUCCACCAUUCUUUCUCUCCCCUCUUAAAAAGUGGGAAAAGGAAGACUGCUGGACCACACCACAAGUUAUAACAACAAAAAAAGGUUCAUUCAAACUUUACUCUGCUGCAUGGACUGUAUCAGCUUGUAUUCAGGCAGGUCAAGUUGGGCGAUACAAGUGUGUGCUGGAAGGAAGCUGUCAUCUGCUGGCUUUUGGAUUAUCAACCUGGAAGCCUGGAAGUGAUAGAAAGAAGGAAGAGGAGAAGAUAGAUGAUAAUAAGGAGGGAAGAAAGAGAAAGAGAGAGAGAGAAGACAACAAAGAAGGAAGAGGACAUGAGAGAAGAAUGAGGAUAAUAGAAGAGGAAGAAAAAAAGAAGAAAUGAGAGAAAGAUAGAAAAGAUAAAUAAAAGAAAAAUAAAUCCUCCCCCCUGCCCCCCUUUCUCUCUCUCUCUCUCUCUCUCUCUCUCUCUCUCUCUCUCUCUCUCUCUCUCUCUCUCUCUCUCUCUCUCUCUCUCUCUCCCACAAUCCACAGACCCACAGUAUGUCUCCCACAGUAUGUUGACAAACCCAGUCACUCCCCACAGCCUCUCACAAAUAUACCUCUCUCUCUCUCUCUCUCUCUCUCUCUCUCUCUCUCUCUCUCUCUCUCUCUCUCUCUCUCUCUCUCUCUCUCUCUCCAUGCCUAAGAGAGGAACCUGGUCAGUCCCUGCGAGAAAUUUUGCAACAUUUUCUGUUCAAGCAAGAGUUCAUUAAAGACUUCCCAUUCCCAAACAGUACAAAUGACUGGAUGGUCUGGAAAGUAUUCACUCUGGAAAUACAGUGAGGGGUUAAUGAAAGGAAGAAUAUUGGAAAA